This 313-nucleotide long non-coding RNA is filed under the name Canis lupus familiaris (dog). RNAcentral's name for it is "lncRNA (ENSCAFG00845020683.1)". The record is from RNAcentral. Lineage: Eukaryota; Metazoa; Chordata; Mammalia; Carnivora; Canidae.
GGAAGGGUGAUAGGUUGGCAUCAAGUGCUUACAAGAUGGGCAUUUCUAGUCUAAGGUCAGGCUGAAAGUCAUCAGAAACACCAUUUAAUUAUUAAUUUCUGCAAAGUGAAAGAAACUGAUGGGCCAUACUGACAUGAGUCAAAUUAUAGAUAGGGUGACUAAUUUGAGGAGAAUCAACAUAAGUCCAAGAAGGGAAAGGAGUUUAGCAGUGAACAAAAAUCGAAUCGGAUGGCAGAAGUUAUGGUCACAGCACAAGGAAGACUGCCUCAGAUGCCGGGUGGCAGGGAACACACGUGAGACUCAAAAUCAGUGA